GACGAACGCUGGCGGCGUGCCUAAUACAUGCAAGUUGAGCGCUGAAGGUUGGUACUUGUACCAACUGGAUGAGCAGCGAACGGGUGAGUAACGCGUGGGGAAUCUGCCUUUGAGCGGGGGACAACUUUGGGAAACGAGUGCUAAUACCGCAUAAAAUCUUUAACCACAAGUUUAAAUUUUGAAAGAUGCAUUUGCUUCACCCAAAAAUAGUCCCCCGUUGUAUUAGCUAGUUGGGGAGGUAAAGGCUCACCAAGGGGAAGAUACAUAGCCGACCUGGGAGGGGGAACGGCCAAAUUGGGACUGAGACACGGCCCAAACCCCUACGGGAGGCAGCAGUAGGGAAUCUUCGGCAAUGGACGAAAGUCUGACCGAGCAACGCCGCGUGAGGGAAGAAGGUUUUCGGAUCGUAAAAAUCUGUUGGUAGAGAAGAACGUUGGUGAGAGUGGAAAGCUCAUCAAGUGACGGUAACUACCCAGAAAGGGACGGCUAACUACGUG
This 497-nucleotide ribosomal RNA is filed under the name uncultured bacterium. RNAcentral's name for it is "partial 16S ribosomal RNA". It matches the Rfam family "Bacterial small subunit ribosomal RNA", at positions 28 to 507 of the family's 1533-position model. The record is from RNAcentral.